GCUUAGAGUUUGAUCCUGGCUCAGGAUGAACGCUGGCGGCGUGCCUAACACAUGCAAGUCGAACGAAGUUUUCGAACUUAGUGGCGGACGGGUGAGUAACGCGUGAGGAUCUGGCCUUAGGUGGGGGAUAACAGUUGGAAACGGCUGCUAAUACCGCAUGUGGCGAGAGCUGAAAGAUUAAUUGCCUGAGGAUGAACUCGCGUCUGAUUAGCUAGUUGGUGGGGUAAGGGCCUACCAAGGCAACGAUCAGUAGCUGGUCUGAGAGGAUGAUCAGCCACACUGGGACUGAGACACGGCCCAGACUCCUACGGGAGGCAGCAGUGGGGAAUUUUCCGCAAUGGGGGGAACCCUGACGGAGCAACGCCGCGUGCGGGAGGACGGCCUGUGGGUUGUAAACCGCUUUUCUCUGGGAAGAAGUUCUGACGGUACCAGAGGAAUCAGCAUCGACUAACUCCGUGCCAGCAGCCGCGGUAAGACGGAGGAUGCAAGCGUUAUCCGGAAUUAUUGGGCGUAAAGCGUCCGUAGGCGGUUUAUCAAGUCAGUUGUUAAAGACUGCAGCUCAACUGUGGGAGAGCAACUGAAACUGAUGAACUAGAGUGCGGUAGGGGUAGAGGGAAUUCCCAGUGUAGCGGUGAAAUGCGUAGAUAUUGGGAAGAACACCAGUGGCGAAGGCGCUCUACUGGGCCGCAACUGACGCUGAGGGACGAAAGCUAGGGGAGCGAAAGGGAUUAGAUACCCCUGUAGUC
Molecule: ribosomal RNA, 746 nt
Filed under: uncultured cyanobacterium
Lineage: Bacteria; Bacillati; Cyanobacteriota
Description: bacterial SSU rRNA
Rfam family: Bacterial small subunit ribosomal RNA
Source: RNAcentral